Molecule: non-coding RNA, 605 nt
Organism: Lactuca sativa (garden lettuce)
Lineage: Eukaryota; Viridiplantae; Streptophyta; Magnoliopsida; Asterales; Asteraceae
Source: RefSeq, a predicted model, not a curated record
UCGAAUGGAAUAUUGAAUCAAUUUCGUUAUAUGCCCGAUUAAGAGCAUCUUUUUAUUGUAUCAAUAUCAAUCAUAUCAAUUACAUUUAAAUUUGAUUAUUAGGUCGAUUUGAUCUUAUUAUGUUCAAUAUAUACUUGAAGCAUACAAAUAUGAAUCAUUCUUUACAGCAUCAUCUUCCAACAAUCAAGCAUCAUCCAUACUUCAGUUAUUAGAUAUUCAAUCAGCGGCUUCAAUCAUUCGUGACAAUGGCAGAUAGAAAUGUCACUUUGAUCAAAGACUUAGACAACAUGAGGGAUGAUUAAACACUAAAAGUGUGUAUUAUCCGGCUGUGGAGAUCAUUAUCCAAAGUUAACCCUAGUAUUGUCAAAGCACUUGAAAUGAUAUUAAUGGAUGAGAUGGGUACAAAAAUCCGAGCAAGUGUCUACCCAAGAGAUACACUUUUAAAACUGAAAGAAGAUAAAGCAAUUUACAUCCGAUCCCCCACUAUAGCUCCAAACAGAUACAUUUUUAAAAUAAGUGAUGUACUCUCCAAGUUAAACUUGCAUGGACGAAAAACUGUUAAUGAUUGUCUAACUUUUUAGUCCAAAACAACAUAUGACUUUUGU